Molecule: ribosomal RNA, 1041 nt
Filed under: Lambiella globulosa
Lineage: Eukaryota; Fungi; Ascomycota; Lecanoromycetes; Baeomycetales; Xylographaceae
Description: eukaryotic LSU rRNA
Rfam family: 5.8S ribosomal RNA (bases 617-770)
Source: RNAcentral
CAUUGGAUCUAACCCUAUCGAAGCCUUGUAUAACCAGUUCGCUGGGGGGGNNNUAAACUACGUCAGUCGUUGAUUUCCCCAGUGGGCAAGANANGCCUGUUGCAGGAAACCCUUUUAGAAUAAAUAAUUGGGUGACCCGCAGCCGUCAGCUUAGCUGACGGUCAACAGAUCAAACGCAUGUCGUUCCGUCCGCCGGCCACCUACUAAGUAAGCCCUUCGUUAAUUUUCUCCAGUCGUUCCGGUAAUUUCUAUAUAAAGCUCAGAGGCCCGUCGGAAAUCAAGAAAAUAGUUGCUAGGCGGUCUGUAGGGUUUAAUAGAGUUGACUAGAAGAAUUUUUUUUAGAAAGGUUUUAGUGGGCUCGCGGUUGGGAUUAAGAGAUGAUCGAUUAGCUAAGGUCUCCUUUAGCUAUUCAAGUUCCGUAGGUGAACCUGCGGAAGGAUCAUUACCGAGAAUAGGGUCCCCCGGGCCCGAACCUCCACCCGCUGUGAAUUGACCUUUGUUGCUUUGGCGGGCCGUGAAGCUUCGGCUUCCCGUCGACUUCGGUGGACGUGCGCUCGUCAGAAGCCCCCUGAACUCUGAUUAACAAGUGAUGUCCGAGCAAUGUCGAAUCGGUGAAAACUUUCAACAACGGAUCUCUUGGUUCUGGCAUCGAUGAAGAACGCAGCGAAAUGCGAUAAGUAAUGUGAAUUGCAGAAUUCAGUGAAUCAUCGAAUCUUUGAACGCACAUUGCGCCCCCUGGUAUUCCGGGGGGCAUGCCUGUUCGAGCGUCAUUACACCCCUCAAGCGUAGCUUGGUCUUGGGAACCGCCCCCCGGGACGUCCCCGAAAAUCAGCGGCGACGCGGUCGGUCUUCGUGCGCAGUAAAACUUUUGUUCGCAUUCGGAGCCCGGGCGCAUCCGCCGGAUAACCCCUGGAUCUUUCAUAAUUGACCUCGGAUCAGGUAGGGAUACCCGCUGAACUUAAGCAUAUCAAUAAGCGGAGGAAAAGAAACCAACAGGGAUUGCCCCAGUAACGGCGAGUGAAGCGGCAACAGCUCAAAUUU